This 433-nucleotide ribosomal RNA is filed under the name uncultured bacterium. RNAcentral's name for it is "partial 16S ribosomal RNA". It matches the Rfam family "Bacterial small subunit ribosomal RNA", at positions 29 to 507 of the family's 1533-position model. The record is from RNAcentral.
AGCGAACGCUGGCGGCAGGCCUAACACAUGCGAGUCGAACGAACUCUUCGGAGUUAGUGGCGGACGGGUGAGUAACACGUGGGAACGUGCCUUUAGGUUCGGAAUAACUCAGGGAAACUUGUGCUAAUACCGAAUGUGCCCUUCGGGGGAAAGAUUUAUCGCCUUUAGAGCGGCCCGCGUCUGAAUAGCUAGUUGGUGAGGUAAAGGCUCACCAAGGCGACGAUCAGUAGCUGGUCUGAGAGGAUGAUCAGCCACAUUGGGACUGAGACACGGCCCAAACUCCUACGGGAGGCAGCAGUGGGGAAUCUUGCGCAAUGGGCGAAAGCCUGACGCAGCCAUGCCGCGUGAAUGAUGAAGGUCUUAGGAUUGUAAAAUUCUUUCACCGGGGACGAUAAUGACGGUACCCGGAGAAGAAGCCCCGGCUAACUUCGUG